AGCCAUUUUGGCUCAAGGUAAACGCUUGGCCCGGGCGUUUGCCUUGGCCAUUGCAGCCGUUCGGGCCGCCAAGCAGGUGUGCCCCGCCCCCCUUCGGCCUCGCUGUGUCCUCCCUUCGGCCCGCUGUUGCAGCAUGCCAUGGAGGAAGAAGGGCCAGCAGGCCAACAAGUGGAAGCCGUAGCCAUUUUGGCU
Molecule: unclassified non-coding RNA, 192 nt
Filed under: Pfiesteria piscicida
Lineage: Eukaryota; Dinophyceae; Peridiniales; Pfiesteriaceae
Description: trans-spliced leader sequence SL-g1b
Source: RNAcentral